Molecule: transfer RNA, 90 nt
Filed under: Magnetococcales bacterium
Lineage: Bacteria; Pseudomonadati; Pseudomonadota; Magnetococcia; Magnetococcales
Description: tRNA-Ser
Rfam family: tRNA
About the family: Transfer RNA (tRNA) molecules are approximately 80 nucleotides in length. Their secondary structure includes four short double-helical elements and three loops (D, anti-codon, and T loops).
Source: RNAcentral
GGAGAGAUGGCCGAGUGGUCGAAGGCGGCACCCUGCUAAGGUGUUAUACUCGAAAGGGUAUCGAGGGUUCGAAUCCCUCUCUCUCCGCCA